AAAGUCGUAACAAGGUUUCCGUAGGUGAACCUGCGGAAGGAUCAUUACCGAGAUCAUGCCCUCACGGGUAGACCUCCACCCUAUGUUUACUACACCUCGUUGCUUUGGCGGGCCGCUUCGGCUACCGGCUUCGGCUGGUACGCGCCCGCCAGGGAACCAACAACCCUGAAUUUUCGUGUCGUCUGAGAAAAAACAUAAUAUUAAAACUUUCAACAACGGAUCUCUUGGCUCUG
This 233-nucleotide unclassified non-coding RNA is filed under the name Ascomycota sp. Its description in RNAcentral is "partial contains small subunit ribosomal RNA, internal transcribed spacer 1, and 5.8S ribosomal RNA". The stretch from base 1 to 47 matches the Rfam family "Eukaryotic small subunit ribosomal RNA", at positions 1785 to 1831 of the family's 1831-position model. The record is from RNAcentral. Lineage: Eukaryota; Fungi; Ascomycota.